GCCGCCACCAAUCAGCGACGAGUGAGGGAGGGGCGGGGUUUGUUGUGGAAGACCCACCCCCUCCUCUUCUAAAUUGCUUCUCCGACCUUUGGGUUCAGAGAAUUGGGAACCGGUCGUUCGCUGUCCUUUUUCGGUUCUUUGGUCAGAGGUCUGGGACUGCGACUUCUUGAUUACUUAUGUACCAUUUAUUUUCACUUGAAACCGGCAGCAAGUUAAGGUGGUUUAGAAUCUGUCCUGACGGGUGGCGUUUGGAAGCAGCACUUUACAAAACGCCUGGUCCUCUCCCUUCUUUGUCAAACCUGGUCAAAGUUAGGACUUGAGCUUUUUUUGGAGGAUCUGAGGAGCAGUGGGGAGUGGGGAAUUAGCCGCCCAAGUCCUUAAAGCUGUCACGUGCAUCAGUAUUUCCACCUCCAACGAGAGGGAAAGAGGAGUAUGCUAGGACUGAGUCCUUCCCUUCGGGCUAAUUGGUGCACUGUGGCAGAAAGACUGCUAGUUUUGCAUCAAGAUCCAUGAUCCUAAGUUUUCAGUGGGGCACAGAGCCACCUGGAACAAAGAUUACAUUUCCCAGCUUUCCUAAGAACCAGGUGUGCCCUUUUGACUGUUUUGGCAAUAGAGGAAACGAGUAGCAGGCCAUCUCUCUUAAGUAUGUAAAAUAAGAAAAUUUGUUGUUCUCUUUUUCUUAUCUGGGGAGUGUCUGGCCACUCAUGAAGGAGAUGUUUCCAGCUGCUUUCAUC
Molecule: long non-coding RNA, 734 nt
Filed under: Homo sapiens (human)
Lineage: Eukaryota; Metazoa; Chordata; Mammalia; Primates; Hominidae
Description: HSALNT0081244
Source: RNAcentral